Molecule: unclassified non-coding RNA, 383 nt
Filed under: uncultured bacterium
Lineage: Bacteria
Description: contains 16S-23S intergenic spacer region
Source: RNAcentral
UCCGGUUUGGCACCGGCAGUCCUCCCAGAGUCCUCGGCAUGACCCGGUAGCAACUGGGAGCGGGGGUUGCGCUCGUUGCGGGACUUAACCCAACAUCUCACGACACGAGCUGACGACAGCCAUGCAGCACCUGUCACCGGUCCAGCCGAACUGAAGGAAUCCAUCUCUGGAAACCGCGACCGGGAUGUCAAGGGCUGGUAAGGUUCUGCGCGUUGCGUCGAAUUAAACCACAUGCUCCACCGCUUGUGCGGGCCCCCGUCAAUUCCUUUGAGUUUCAGCCUUGCGGCCGUACUCCCCAGGCGGGACACUUACUGCGUUAGCGACGGCACCGAGGGGGUCGCUCCCCCCGACGCCUAGCUUCCAUCGUUUACGGCGUGGACUAC